UACAGAGGUCCCGAGCGUUGUUCGGAAUUACUGGGCGUAAAGGGCUCGUAGGCGGCCAACUAAGUCGGACGUGAAAUCCCCAGGCUUAACCUGGGAACUGCGUGUGAUACUGGAUGGCUUGAAUUCGGGAGAGGGAUGCAGAAUUCCAGGUGUAGCGGUGAAAUGCGUAGAUAUCUGGAGGAAUACCGGUGGCGAAGGCGGCAUCCUGGACCGACAUUGACGCUGAGGCGCGAAAGCCAGGGGAGCGAACGGG
This 253-nucleotide ribosomal RNA is filed under the name uncultured bacterium. Its description in RNAcentral is "partial 16S ribosomal RNA". It matches the Rfam family "Bacterial small subunit ribosomal RNA", at positions 524 to 776 of the family's 1533-position model. The record is from RNAcentral.